CGAACGCGUCUUGUGUAUUGAUGUUAAGUGCUUGCAUUUAACUGAUUUAACAUUGAGACGAGUGGCGAACUGGUGAGUAACACGUGGGUAACCUGCCCUUGAAGUAGGGGAUAACACUUGGAAACAGGUGCUAAUACCGUAUAACAACCAAAACCACCUGGUUUUGGUUUAAAAGAUGGCUUCGGCUAUCACUUUAGGAUGGACCCGCGGCGUAUUAGCUUGUUGGUAAGGUAACGGCCUACCAAGGCAAUGAUACGUAGCCGACCUGAGAGGGUAAUCGGCCACAUUGGGACUGAGACACGGCCCAAACUCCUACGGGAGGCAGCAGUAGGGAAUCUUCCACAAUGGACGAAAGUCUGAUGGAGCAACGCCGCGUGAGUGAUGAAGGGUUUCGGCUCGUAAAACUCUGUUGUUGGAGAAGAACAGGUGUGAGAGUAACUGUUCACAUCUUGACGGUAUCCAACCAGAAAGCCACGGCUAACUACGUGCCAGCAGCCGCGGUAAUACGUAGGUGGCAAGCGUUGUCCGGAUUUAUUGGGCGUAAAGCGAGCGCAGGCGGUUUCUUAGGUCUGAUGUGAAAGCCUUCGGCUUAACCGGAGAAGUGCAUCGGAAACCAGGAGACUUGAGUGCAGAAGAGGACAGUGGAACUCCAUGUGUAGCGGUGAAAUGCGUAGAUAUAUGGAAGAACACCAGUGGCGAAGGCGGCUGUCUGGUCUGUAACUGACGCUGAGGCUCGAAAGCAUGGGUAGCGAACAGGAUUAGAUACCCUGGUAG
This 774-nucleotide ribosomal RNA is filed under the name uncultured bacterium. RNAcentral describes it as "bacterial SSU rRNA". It matches the Rfam family "Bacterial small subunit ribosomal RNA", at positions 40 to 793 of the family's 1533-position model. The record is from RNAcentral.